UUGGGUUUUCAUAUUUGAAAU
This 21-nucleotide non-coding RNA is filed under the name Caenorhabditis elegans. The record is from RNAcentral. Lineage: Eukaryota; Metazoa; Nematoda; Chromadorea; Rhabditida; Rhabditidae.